AGAAGGCUAUGUUAGCCGGGCGACGGUUGUCCCGGUUUAAGCAUGUAGGCUGGUUGUCCAGGCAAAUCCGGAUAAUCAAGGCUGAGGUGUGAUGACGAGGCACUACGGUGCUGAAGUAACAAAUGCCCUGCUUCCAGGAAAAGCCUCUAAGCAUCAGGUAACAUCAAAUCGUACCCCAAACCGACACAGGUGGUCAGGUAGAGAAUACCAAGGCGCUUGAG
Molecule: ribosomal RNA, 221 nt
Filed under: Klebsiella pneumoniae
Lineage: Bacteria; Pseudomonadati; Pseudomonadota; Gammaproteobacteria; Enterobacterales; Enterobacteriaceae
Description: partial 23S ribosomal RNA
Rfam family: Bacterial large subunit ribosomal RNA
Source: RNAcentral